This 1185-nucleotide ribosomal RNA is filed under the name Salmonella enterica. RNAcentral's name for it is "bacterial LSU rRNA". It matches the Rfam family "Bacterial large subunit ribosomal RNA", at positions 973 to 2141 of the family's 2925-position model. The record is from RNAcentral. RNAcentral also lists the same sequence under 2 other names. Lineage: Bacteria; Pseudomonadati; Pseudomonadota; Gammaproteobacteria; Enterobacterales; Enterobacteriaceae.
UAUCACGGGAGACACACGGCGGGUGCUAACGUCCGUCGUGAAGAGGGAAACAACCCAGACCGCCAGCUAAGGUCCCAAAGUCAUGGUUAAGUGGGAAACGAUGUGGGAAGGCCCAGACAGCCAGGAUGUUGGCUUAGAAGCAGCCAUCAUUUAAAGAAAGCGUAAUAGCUCACUGGUCGAGUCGGCCUGCGCGGAAGAUGUAACGGGGCUAAACCAUGCACCGAAGCUGCGGCAGCGACACUGUGUGUUGUUGGGUAGGGGAGCGUUCUGUAAGCCUGUGAAGGUGUGUCGUGAGGCAUGCUGGAGGUAUCAGAAGUGCGAAUGCUGACAUAAGUAACGAUAAAGCGGGUGAAAAGCCCGCUCGCCGGAAGACCAAGGGUUCCUGUCCAACGUUAAUCGGGGCAGGGUGAGUCGACCCCUAAGGCGAGGCCGAAAGGCGUAGUCGAUGGGAAACGGGUUAAUAUUCCCGUACUUGGUGUUACUGCGAAGGGGGGACGGAGAAGGCUAUGUUGGCCGGGCGACGGUUGUCCCGGUUUAAGCGUGUAGGUGUGUGUUCCAGGUAAAUCCGGUUCACUUUAACACUGAGGCGUGACGACGAGGCACUACGGUGCUGAAGCAACAAAUGCCCUGCUUCCAGGAAAAGCCUCUAAGCAUCAGGUAACAUCAAAUCGUACCCCAAACCGACACAGGUGGUCAGGUAGAGAAUACCAAGGCGCUUGAGAGAACUCGGGUGAAGGAACUAGGCAAAAUGGUGCCGUAACUUCGGGAGAAGGCACGCUGACACGUAGGUGAAGUGAUUUACUCAUGGAGCUGAAGUCAGUCGAAGAUACCAGCUGGCUGCAACUGUUUAUUAAAAACACAGCACUGUGCAAACACGAAAGUGGACGUAUACGGUGUGACGCCUGCCCGGUGCCGGAAGGUUAAUUGAUGGGGUCAGCGCAAGCGAAGCUCCUGAUCGAAGCCCCGGUAAACGGCGGCCGUAACUAUAACGGUCCUAAGGUAGCGAAAUUCCUUGUCGGGUAAGUUCCGACCUGCACGAAUGGCGUAAUGAUGGCCAGGCUGUCUCCACCCGAGACUCAGUGAAAUUGAACUCGCUGUGAAGAUGCAGUGUACCCGCGGCAAGACGGAAAGACCCCGUGAACCUUUACUAUAGCUUGACACUGAACAUUGAGCCUUGAUGUGUAG